GGUGGCUUAGUGGUGAAGCGCUUGCCUUGCAUGCAUAAGGCCCUGGGUUCGAUUCCUCAGCACCA
This 65-nucleotide transfer RNA is filed under the name Dipodomys ordii (Ord's kangaroo rat). It matches the Rfam family "tRNA". From Rfam's summary of the family: Transfer RNA (tRNA) molecules are approximately 80 nucleotides in length. Their secondary structure includes four short double-helical elements and three loops (D, anti-codon, and T loops). Lineage: Eukaryota; Metazoa; Chordata; Mammalia; Rodentia; Heteromyidae. The record is from Rfam by way of RNAcentral.